Molecule: ribosomal RNA, 253 nt
Filed under: uncultured bacterium
Lineage: Bacteria
Description: partial 16S ribosomal RNA
Rfam family: Bacterial small subunit ribosomal RNA
Source: RNAcentral
UACGUAGGGGGCAAGCGUUGUCCGGAAUCAUUGGGCGUAAAGAGCGUGUAGGCGGCCCGAUAAGUCCGCUGUGAAAGUCCAGGGCUCAACCCUGGGAUGCCGGUGGAUACUGUCGGGCUCGAGUCCGGAAGAGGCGAGUGGAAUUCCUGGUGUAGCGGUGAAAUGCGCAGAUAUCAGGAAGAACACCCGUGGCUAAGGCGGUUCUCUAGUACGGUACUGACGCUGAGACGCGAAAGCGUGGGGAGCGAACAGG